GAGGAUGUAGCUCAGUGGGAGAAUGCCCACCUAUUAUGUGUGAGGCCCUGGGUUUGAGUCCCAGCAUCACCA
RNAcentral lists this transfer RNA (72 nucleotides) under Marmota marmota marmota (Alpine marmot). It matches the Rfam family "tRNA". From Rfam's summary of the family: Transfer RNA (tRNA) molecules are approximately 80 nucleotides in length. Their secondary structure includes four short double-helical elements and three loops (D, anti-codon, and T loops). Further hydrogen bonds mediate the characteristic L-shaped molecular structure. tRNAs have two regions of fundamental functional importance: the anti-codon, which is responsible for specific mRNA codon recognition, and the 3' end, to which the tRNAs corresponding amino acid is attached (by aminoacyl-tRNA synthetases). tRNAs cope with the degeneracy of the genetic code in two manners: having more than one tRNA (with a specific anti-codon) for a particular amino acid; and 'wobble' base-pairing, i.e. permitting non-standard base-pairing at the 3rd anti-codon position. RNAcentral also lists the same sequence under 1 other name. The record is from Rfam by way of RNAcentral. Lineage: Eukaryota; Metazoa; Chordata; Mammalia; Rodentia; Sciuridae.